RNAcentral lists this ribosomal RNA (428 nucleotides) under uncultured Paracoccaceae bacterium. Its description in RNAcentral is "bacterial SSU rRNA". It matches the Rfam family "Bacterial small subunit ribosomal RNA", at positions 29 to 505 of the family's 1533-position model. The record is from RNAcentral. Lineage: Bacteria; Pseudomonadati; Pseudomonadota; Alphaproteobacteria; Rhodobacterales; Paracoccaceae.
AACGAACGCUGGCGGCAGGCCUAACACAUGCAAGUCGAGCGCACCUUCGGGUGAGCGGCGGACGGGUUAGUAACGCGUGGGAACGUGCCCAGCUCUAGGGAAUAGCCUCGGGAAACUGAGAGUAAUACCCUAUACGCCCUUCGGGGGAAAGAAUUUCGGAGUUGGAUCGGCCCGCGUCUGAUUAGGUAGUUGGUGGGGUAACGGCCUACCAAGCCUACGAUCAGUAGCUGGUUUGAGAGGAUGAUCAGCAACACUGGGACUGAGACACGGCCCAGACUCCUACGGGAGGCAGCAGUGGGGAAUCUUAGACAAUGGGCGCAAGCCUGAUCUAGCCAUGCCGCGUGAGUGACGAAGGCCCUAGGGUCGUAAAGCUCUUUCACCAGGGAAGAUAAUGACGGUACCUGGAGAAGAAACCCCGGCUAACUCCG